RNAcentral lists this ribosomal RNA (460 nucleotides) under uncultured bacterium. RNAcentral describes it as "partial 16S ribosomal RNA". It matches the Rfam family "Bacterial small subunit ribosomal RNA", at positions 338 to 795 of the family's 1533-position model. The record is from RNAcentral.
CCUACGGGAGGCAGCAGUGAGGAAUAUUGGUCAAUGGGCGCUAGCCUGAACCAGCCAAGUAGCGUGAAGGAUGACUGCCCUAUGGGUUGUAAACUUCUUUUAUAUGGGAAUAAAGUGCAGUAUGUAUACUGCUUUGCAUGUACCUUAUGAAUAAGGAUCGGCUAACUCCGUGCCAGCAGCCGCGGUAAUACGGAGGAUCCGAGCGUUAUCCGGAUUUAUUGGGUUUAAAGGGAGCGUAGGCGGGUUGUUAAGUCAGUUGUGAAAGUUUGCGGCUCAACCGUAAAAUUGCAGUUGAUACUGGCAGCCUUGAGUACAGUAGAGGUAUGCGGAAUGCGUGGUGUAGCGGUGAAAUGCUUAGAUAUCACGAAGAACUCCGAUUGCGAAGGCAGCCUGCUGGAUUGUAACUGACGCUGAGGCUCGAAAGUGUGGGUAUCAAACAGGAUUAGAUACCCUUGUAGUC